UACGGAGGGUGCAAGCAUUGAUCGGAAUUACUGGGCGUAAAGGGCGCGUAGGCGGUUGGAAAAGUCAGAUGUGAAAUUCCGGGGCUCAACCUCGGAGCUGCAUUUGAAACUUUCUGACUAGAGUUCAGUUAGGGAAAACGGAAUUCCACAUGUAGCGGUGAAAUGCGUAGAUAUGUGGAGGAACACCAGUGGUGAAGACGGUUUUCUGGGCUGAAACUGACGCUGAGGCGCGAAAGCAAGGGGAGCAAACAGG
RNAcentral lists this ribosomal RNA (253 nucleotides) under uncultured prokaryote. Its description in RNAcentral is "partial 16S ribosomal RNA". It matches the Rfam family "Bacterial small subunit ribosomal RNA", at positions 524 to 776 of the family's 1533-position model. The record is from RNAcentral.